AGGAUAAACGCUGGCGGCGUGCCUAACACAUGCAAGUCGAACGCGCUUUCGGGCUUCGGUGCGAGAGCGAGUGGCGGACGGGUGAGUAACACAUGGGUACCUACCUUGGAGUGAGGGAUACCGGCGAGAAAUCGCCGACAAUACCGCAUAGGCUUCUUCACAAGGGAAGCAAAGUGACGCGAGUCACGCUGUGAGAUGGGCCUGUGGCCGAUUAGCUAGUUGGGGGGUAACGGCUUCCCAAGGCGACGAUCGGUAGCUGGUCUGAGAGGACGAUCAGCCACACUGGGAUUGAGAACGGCCCAGACUCCUACGGGGGCAGCAGUGAGGAAUUUUCCGCAAUGGAGGCAACUCUGACGGAGCAACGCCGCGUGCAGGAGGAAGGUUUUCGGAUCGGUAAACUGCUUUUCUCGGGGACGUAGCAAGGACGGUACCCGAGGAAGAGCCCGGCUAACUACGUGCCAGCGGCCGC
RNAcentral lists this ribosomal RNA (469 nucleotides) under uncultured bacterium. Its description in RNAcentral is "SSU rRNA". It matches the Rfam family "Bacterial small subunit ribosomal RNA", at positions 26 to 518 of the family's 1533-position model. The record is from RNAcentral.